UACGUAUGGAGCAAGCGUUAUCCGGAUUUACUGGGUGUAAAGGGAGCGUAGGCGGCAUACCAAGCCUGAUGUGAAAACCCGGGGCCCAACCCCGGGAGUGCAUUGGGAACUGGCAAGCUAGAGUGUCGGAGAGGCAGGCGGAAUUCCUAGUGUAGCGGUGAAAUGCGUAGAUAUUAGGAGGAACACCAGUGGCGAAGGCGGCCUGCUGGACGAUGACCGACGCUGAGGCUCGAAAGCGUGGGGAGCAAACAGG
This 253-nucleotide ribosomal RNA is filed under the name uncultured bacterium. Its description in RNAcentral is "partial 16S ribosomal RNA". It matches the Rfam family "Bacterial small subunit ribosomal RNA", at positions 524 to 776 of the family's 1533-position model. The record is from RNAcentral.